RNAcentral lists this non-coding RNA (29 nucleotides) under Mus musculus (house mouse). Lineage: Eukaryota; Metazoa; Chordata; Mammalia; Rodentia; Muridae. The record is from RNAcentral.
UCAGAGCUCUGCAGACUACUGGACAACAU